This 253-nucleotide ribosomal RNA is filed under the name uncultured bacterium. RNAcentral's name for it is "partial 16S ribosomal RNA". It matches the Rfam family "Bacterial small subunit ribosomal RNA", at positions 524 to 776 of the family's 1533-position model. The record is from RNAcentral.
UACGUAGGGUCCGAGCGUUGUCCGGAAUUACUGGGCGUAAAGGGCUCGUAGGUGGCCAACUAAGUCGGACGUGAAAUCCCUCGGCUUAACCGGGGAACUGCGUCCGAUACUGGAUGGCUUGAGUUUGGGAGAGGGAUGCGGAAUUCCAGGUGUAGCGGUGAAAUGCGUAGAUAUCUGGAGGAACACCGGUGGCGAAGGCGGCAUCCUGGACCAACACUGACACUGAGGAGCGAAAGCCAGGGGAGCAAACGGG